CAAGAUGGUUCCUGGUCAUUUCGCUGAAGUUAAGCAAAGUUAAAUAUCUUCAAUUGAUGGAUAGAUACAAAAGAGCUCAGGACUACAUUGAGCAUAACAAACUUUGGAAAAACACUACAGAAACUUUGAAAAGUCACAAUUUAAGUGAUUUGUUUCCGAAUCUGAAGAUUGUGGAAGUUCCGUUGCAUUUUUUUGUUUCUCUUGAAUCGUAUACUUUUAGAAGGUUGAUAAACGAACAUCCAAAAAUCAAAGGAUUGAUUGGACUUGAUGAACCUGUUGAGAACAGAUAUAACUUGGAAAAUAUCGAAAUGAUUUCAUCAGAUUUCAAAUUUGAAUUCGAGGUCCAAAUUUGUCCAUUUUAAAAAUCCUUGAAAUUCCACCUGGUAAUCUUGGCUUUAUUACUAUUACUAUGGCUUUAAUACUUUCAGGCUAAUUACAUUGACGAUACAAUAAAAAAUUUCAAUCUAAGAGAUUUGGUUAUCGAACAUGUAAGUGACAAUGAAAAAUUCUCAUUUGAUUCACUUUUUCGUUUUGAUUCUUUCCACCUCAAGCCUUAUACAUGUGAGUUUACCUUGGAACUUUUACGGAUAAUCUGCACAAAAUUCCCGAAUUUACAUCAUCUUGGAAUCAGAGGCUACGAAGUUGACGAUAGUCAUGUAGAAGUAAUGGUUAAACUAUUACCAGA
Molecule: long non-coding RNA, 685 nt
Organism: Panonychus citri (citrus red mite)
Lineage: Eukaryota; Metazoa; Arthropoda; Arachnida; Trombidiformes; Tetranychidae
Exons: 3
Source: RefSeq, a predicted model, not a curated record